UGAGAACCUCCGGGGGCGGGGAGGUUCGACUCGAGCGAAGCGAGAGAACGUUGCGCCAGCAACGGCCCGCAGGGCGAGCCACGAAGUGGCGAGUAAUCCUCUAUCACCGACCA
RNAcentral lists this small RNA (113 nucleotides) under Escherichia coli. RNAcentral's name for it is "partial RtT sRNA". It matches the Rfam family "RtT RNA", at positions 23 to 130 of the family's 130-position model. From Rfam's summary of the family: This family represents a bacterial cis-regulatory element known as RtT RNA. The record is from RNAcentral. Lineage: Bacteria; Pseudomonadati; Pseudomonadota; Gammaproteobacteria; Enterobacterales; Enterobacteriaceae.